UACGUAGGGUGCAAGCGUUAAUCGGAAUUACUGGGCGUAAAGCGUGCGCAGGCGGUUUUGUAAGUUCAGAUGUGAAAUCCCCCGGGCUUAACCUGGGAACUGCGUUUGAAACUACAAGGCUAGAGUGUGGCAGAGGGGGUGGAAUUCCACGUGUAGCAGGUGAAAUGCGUAGAGAUGUGGAGGAACACCGAUGGCGAAGGCA
RNAcentral lists this ribosomal RNA (202 nucleotides) under uncultured bacterium. RNAcentral's name for it is "partial 16S ribosomal RNA". It matches the Rfam family "Bacterial small subunit ribosomal RNA", at positions 524 to 723 of the family's 1533-position model. The record is from RNAcentral.